CGGGCGUGGGAGGGCAGG
Molecule: unclassified non-coding RNA, 18 nt
Filed under: Chlamydomonas reinhardtii
Lineage: Eukaryota; Viridiplantae; Chlorophyta; Chlorophyceae; Chlamydomonadales; Chlamydomonadaceae
Description: small RNA Cre_1331
Source: RNAcentral